This 28-nucleotide non-coding RNA is filed under the name Homo sapiens (human). Lineage: Eukaryota; Metazoa; Chordata; Mammalia; Primates; Hominidae. The record is from RNAcentral.
UGCCAUGAUUAGUCUCAGAAACACUACC